ACUGCUCAGUAACACGUGGACAACCUGCCCUUAGGACGGGGAUAAACCCGGGAAACUGGGUAUAAUACCCGAUAGGUCUCGAUUGCUGGAAUGCAUCGAGAUUUAAAGCUCCGGCGCCUAAGGAUGGGUCUGCGGCCUAUCAGGUAGUAGUGGGUGUAGCGUACCUACUAGCCUACGACGGGUACGGGUUGUGAGAGCAAGAGCCCGGAGAUGGAUUCUGAGACACGAAUCCAGGCCCUACGGGGUGCAGCAGGCGCGAAAACUUUACAAUGCUGGCAACAGCGAUAAGGGAACCUCGAGUGCCAGGUUACAAAUCUGGCUGUCGAGAUGCCUAAAAAGCAUUUCAUAGCAAGGGCCGGGCAAGACCGGUGCCAGCCGCCGCGGUAACACCGGCGGCUCGAGUGGUAACCGUUAUUAUUGGGUCUAAAGGGUCUGUAGCCGGCCGGAUAAGUCUCUUGAGAAAUCUGGCAGCUUAACUGUCAGGCUUUCAGGAGAUACUGUCUGGCUCGAGGCCGGGAGAGGUGAGAGGUACUUCAGGGGUAGGGGUGAAAUCUUGUAAUCCUUGAAGGACCACCAGUGGCGAAGGCGUCUCACCAGAACGGACCUGACGGCAAGGGACGAAAGCUAGGGGCACGAACCGGAUUAGAUACCCGGGUAGUCCUAGCCGUAAACGAUACUCGCUAGGUGUCGGCCACGGUGCUACCGUUGUCGGUGCCGUAGGGAAGCCGUGAAGCGAGCCACCUGGGAAGUACGGCCGCAAGGCUGAAACUUAAAGGAAUUGGCGGGGGAGCAC
RNAcentral lists this ribosomal RNA (793 nucleotides) under uncultured archaeon. RNAcentral describes it as "bacterial SSU rRNA". It matches the Rfam family "Archaeal small subunit ribosomal RNA", at positions 85 to 879 of the family's 1478-position model. The record is from RNAcentral.